CAAAAGCGUAUAUUAAAGUUGUUGCAGUUAAAAAGCUCGUAGUUGAACCUUGGGCUUGGCUGGCCGGUCCAUCUUUUUUGAUGCGUACUGGACCCAGCCGAGCCUUUCCUUCUGGCUAGCCUUUUGGCGAACCAGGACUUUUACUUUGAAAAAAUUAGAGUGUUCAAAGCAGGCCUUUGCUCGAAUAUAUUAGCAUGGAAUAAUAGAAUAGGACGUUAUGGUUCUAUUUUGUUGGUUUCUAGGACCAUCGUAAUGAUUAAUAGGGACGGUCGGGGGUAUCAGUAUCCAGUUGUCAGAGGUGAAAUUCUUGGAUUUACUGAAGACUAACUACUGCGAAAGCAUUUACCAAGGACGUUUUCAUUAA
Molecule: ribosomal RNA, 364 nt
Filed under: uncultured eukaryote
Lineage: Eukaryota
Description: partial 18S ribosomal RNA
Rfam family: Eukaryotic small subunit ribosomal RNA
Source: RNAcentral